Clupea harengus (Atlantic herring) is the source of this 945-nucleotide long non-coding RNA. The record is from Ensembl. Lineage: Eukaryota; Metazoa; Chordata; Actinopteri; Clupeiformes; Clupeidae.
GUACAAAAAUGGUUUAUUUAUGUCAAAUAACCAAAUGUGUAAUCUUUUUUUUAUUUAGAUGUAGUACCUUACUGUUAUUUUUUAUUGAUAAAAUAUAAAUGUGGUUGUGUUGCCCAAAGCAAACUACAUCUCCCAGCUUACCUGCCUCUGAACAGCCCCUCUCAGCUGCGUGCCUUACCUGACGCUGUCUGCUGCCCAAAGCAAACUACAUCUCCUAGCUCAGCUGCCUCUGAACUGCCCCUCUCAGCUGUGUGGCGUACCUGACGUUGAUCCUUUCAAUAUUGCAACUGCGAAAUUCACCGGCAUCGCCUCGCUGGAAGGAUUGUUUGGCGUCCACGUUGCUGCUCGUAUUCCUCCUGUUGAUUAUUAGCUUCCACAAUCAGCUAGUUUCGCUUCCUUCACAGUAGGCUACAGACAUCGGUUCGUGCCGGUAGCAUUCACCAUCUAAGCCAGUAACCUACAUUCCGGCAGCCGGCUCCUUAAUCUCCCACUGCCACACUGGACUGGGGAACCUUCCUGCCACCGUAGCUUCUGUCCAGGUGUGCCACGGCCCCAAGUAGCACUCAGUGGCUCUUCAUUCAUUAGCCAAAGUGCCACUACUACAGGCUCACCAGAACAACGGAGAGUCUUGCAACUGUCUACGGGACAGGUCGCUGGAUCUGACUCCUCCUCUUCGCGCACUGCAUGCCGUAUUAUGAGUGGUGACGUGCACCUCACCAUUUGCAUUGAUCCCUUUUUGCAGUGCCUGUGCUGUGUUGUGUGCAGGACGUGUGAGUAGGCACCAGAAUCAAGAGCACGGGUGGCGUGUCGGUCUCACUCCUUUUCCAGGACGGGUAACCCCCUGCAACAACUGCUCCCUAUAAACCCCAUCAGUGUCCCCUACCAUUCUGGUGGCAGCCAUUAUCCUCCCUCUUGCCGUAUUCCAUAUUUUAUUGUGAUUUAGCC